AACGUGAGUGGCGAGCGUUAUCCGGAAUUACUGGGCGUAAAGGGCGCGUAGGUGGUUAAGUAAGUCAUAGGUAAAAAACACUGAGCUCAACUCGGAUGGAGCUUAUGAAACUGCAUAACUUGGAGUAUGGGAGAGGAAGAUGGAAUUAUUACUGUAGCGGUGGAAUGCGUAGAUAGUAAUAGGAAGGCCAACGACGAAGGUAGUCUUCUGGACCGAUACUGACACUGAGGCGCGAAAGCGUGGGGAGCAAACAGG
Molecule: ribosomal RNA, 255 nt
Filed under: uncultured bacterium
Lineage: Bacteria
Description: partial 16S ribosomal RNA
Rfam family: Bacterial small subunit ribosomal RNA
Source: RNAcentral